CCUUUUGGUGGCCAUGCGCAGGGUCUCUCCGGAGACGCCGGUUCCAAUGCCCGGUCUACCAACCUUCGUAUGGCCGCCACCCUC
RNAcentral lists this non-coding RNA (84 nucleotides) under Pseudomonas corrugata. Lineage: Bacteria; Pseudomonadati; Pseudomonadota; Gammaproteobacteria; Pseudomonadales; Pseudomonadaceae. The record is from RNAcentral.